GGGGAUAGCCCAGAGAAAUUUGGAUUGAUACCCCAUAGCAUUAUCAGAUGGCAUCUGAAGAUAAUUAAAGAUUUAUCGGUUAAGGAUGGGCCAUGCGUGACAUUAGAUAGUUGGUGAGGUAAUGGCUCACCAAGUCAACGAUGUCUAGGGGUUCUGAGAGGAUGAUCCCCCACACUGGUACUGAGAUACGGACCAGACUCCUACGGGAGGCAGCAGUAGGGAAUAUUGGUCAAUGGGCGAGAGCCUGAACCAGCCAUGCCGCGUGCAGGAAGACAGCUUUCUGAGUUGUAAACUGCUUUUAUAUGGGAAGAAAAAGGCCUUGCGAGGCAAAUUGCCGGUACCAUAUGAAUAAGCACUUG
RNAcentral lists this ribosomal RNA (359 nucleotides) under uncultured bacterium KC305. RNAcentral describes it as "bacterial SSU rRNA". It matches the Rfam family "Bacterial small subunit ribosomal RNA", at positions 139 to 496 of the family's 1533-position model. Lineage: Bacteria; Pseudomonadati; Bacteroidota. The record is from RNAcentral.